Molecule: ribosomal RNA, 252 nt
Filed under: Scutisorex somereni
Lineage: Eukaryota; Metazoa; Chordata; Mammalia; Eulipotyphla; Soricidae
Description: partial large subunit ribosomal RNA
Rfam family: Bacterial large subunit ribosomal RNA
Source: RNAcentral
GUAUAAAACAACCUCCGAGUAAUUUAAACCAAGACUCACUCGUCAAAGUAAUAAAGCCUAUUGAUCCAAUCAUAUUGAUCAACGGAACAAGUUACCCUAGGGAUAACAGCGCAAUCCUAUUUAAGAGUUCACAUCGACAAUAGGGUUUACGACCUCGAUGUUGGAUCAGGACACCCAAAUGGUGCAGCAGCUAUUAAAGGUUCGUUUGUUCAACGAUUAAAGUCCUACGUGAUCUGAGUUCAGACCGGAGAA